GCCAGGCCUGGUGGUGCAUGCCUGUAGUCCCAGCUACUCGGGAGGCUGAGGUGGGAGGAUCGCUUGAGCCCAGGAGUUCUGGGCUGUCAUGCGCUAUGCCGAUCGGGUGUCCGCACUAAGUUUGGCAUCAAUACUGUGACCUCCCGGGAGCGGGGGACCACCAGGUUGCCUAAGGAGGGGUGAACCGGCCCAGGUCAGAAACGAAGCAGGUCAAAACUCCCAUGCUGAUCAGUAGUGGGAUCACGCCUGUGUAUAGCCACAGCACUCCAGCCUGGGCAACAUAGUGAGACCCCGUCUUU
This 299-nucleotide signal recognition particle RNA is filed under the name Saimiri boliviensis boliviensis (Bolivian squirrel monkey). RNAcentral's name for it is "Metazoan signal recognition particle RNA (ENSSBOG00000015230.1)". It matches the Rfam family "Metazoan signal recognition particle RNA". Rfam says of the family: The signal recognition particle (SRP) is a universally conserved ribonucleoprotein. It is involved in the co-translational targeting of proteins to membranes. The record is from RNAcentral. Lineage: Eukaryota; Metazoa; Chordata; Mammalia; Primates; Cebidae.